RNAcentral lists this ribosomal RNA (790 nucleotides) under Panstrongylus megistus. RNAcentral describes it as "SSU rRNA". It matches the Rfam family "Eukaryotic small subunit ribosomal RNA", at positions 473 to 1176 of the family's 1831-position model. RNAcentral also lists the same sequence under 1 other name. Lineage: Eukaryota; Metazoa; Arthropoda; Insecta; Hemiptera; Reduviidae. The record is from RNAcentral.
AAAAAUAACGAUACGGGACUCUAUUGAGGCCCCGUAAUCGGAAUGAGUACACUUUAAAUCCUUUAACAAGGAUCCAUUGGAGGGCAAGUCUGGUGCCAGCAGCCGCGGUAAUUCCAGCUCCAAUAGCGUAUAUUAAAGUUGUUGCGGUUAAAAAGCUCGUAGUUGGUUCUGCGUGCCGCGCUGUCGGUUCGCCGCCUGUCGGUGUAACUGGCAUGUCGCGGCAUGUCCUGUCGGUGGUGAACGGAGUCCACAAUGCUACAUAGGCUUUAUAGCCGAUGUUAGCGUCGUGUGUACUUCCGUUGGCCGAUCUCUCCUACUUCGGUGCUCUUAAACGAGUGUCGAGGUAGGCCGACACGUUCACUUUGAACAAAUUAGAGUGCUUAAAGCAGGCUGAAAUAUCUGCCUGAAUAGUGGUGCAUGGAAUGAUAAAACAGGACCUCGGUUCUAUUUUGUUGGUUUUAGGAAUAUGAGGUAAUGAUCAAUGUGGACUGGCGGGGGCAUUCGUAUUGCGACGUUAGAGGUGAAAUUCUUGGAUCGUCGCAAGACGCACUAGAGCGAAAGCAUUUGCCAAGUAUGUCUUAAUUGAUCAAGAACGAAAGUUAGAGGUUCGAAGGCGAUCAGAUACCGCCCUAGUUCUAACCAUAAACGAUGCCAGCCAGCGAUCCGCCGAUGUUCCUUUAAUGACUCGGCGGGGAGCUUCCACCCGGGAAACCAAAGCUUUUGGGUUCCGGGGGAAGUAUGGUUGCAAAGCUGAAACUUAAAGGAAUUGACGGAAGGGCACCACCAGGAG